This 467-nucleotide ribosomal RNA is filed under the name uncultured bacterium. RNAcentral describes it as "partial 16S ribosomal RNA". It matches the Rfam family "Bacterial small subunit ribosomal RNA", at positions 28 to 506 of the family's 1533-position model. The record is from RNAcentral.
GAUGAACGCUGACAGAAUGCUUAACACAUGCAAGUCUACUUGAAUUUGGGUUUUUUAACUUAGAUUUGGGUGGCGGACGGGUGAGUAACGCGUAAAGAACUUGCCUCACAGUUAGGGACAACAUUUGGAAACGAAUGCUAAUACCUGAUAUUAUGAAUAUAUGGCAUCAUAUAAUUAUGAAAGCUAUAAGCGCUGUGAGAGAGCUUUGCGUCCCAUUAGCUAGUUGGAGAGGUGACGGCUCACCAAGGCGAUGAUGGGUAGCCGGCCUGAGAGGGUGAACGGCCACAAGGGGACUGAGACACGGCCCUUACUCCUACGGGAGGCAGCAGUGGGGAAUAUUGGACAAUGGACCAAGAGUCUGAUCCAGCAAUUCUGUGUGCACGAUGACGUUUUUCGGAAUGUAAAGUGCUUUCAGUUGGGAAGAAAAAAAUGACGGUACCAACAGAAGAAGUGACGGCUAAAUACGU